GAGUAAUAAAAGCUGAAAUAAUCAGAUUUUACAAUGAUUCAUUUAUGAUAAUGUAGGUGUGCGCGCGUGCCUGUUUGCAAGCGCAUCACUGAUGUUUUUUUGGGUGUCCUCUCUCUCUCUCUUUGACAGAUGUUAAUGUGUUGUGCCGCUAGGAGGACACAAUUAGUUUUUUCCCCCAGUAAAUAUUGAAGCCGUGUUGUAUUGCCUGAAUUGUGGGUAAAUGCUCCGGAGUUUGGGGUAGAAUGUUUCUCUGAUGCGCUGAUCAGUUCGUGCAGCGGGUGAGGAAGCGUUCCUCCGUCUCCACCACUGCCUGGACAGACGGCGAGCACUCAGCCUGCAUUCGGUCAUUGUUGUUUUGAAUCUACUGUCCUUUACUGAACUCAGACAUGUUGCUGUGGUAUAAUCUGCGUUUAGCUGUAAAUAACAUUGAAUUUUACUUUGUUUUCCUGCUCUCUCUCUCUCUCUCUCUCUCUCUCUCUCUCGUGCAGGAAUUACAGUCUUAGAGCGAAGGCCGGAUUCACCUUGUGACAUACAUGUGACGUAUCCGGACAUACAGGCCAAACAAGAGGUGAUGGCGUUACUCGAGGGAAGCAGAAACGCAGCAGUGCUGUUCGGAUGACGCUCGAACAGAAAGUACGCGGACCGGACGAAAGGCGACCGGAGCUUCACCACCGUGGCGAGGGGGGUCGAAGGAGCCGGAUGAGGAGAGGAGCCCGGCGGCGGAGCGAGCGCUGGAGCUGGCGAAUGCGGAAGCAGAGGCUGGAGUCAAAACGCAGAUCACAGCAUCAUGGGCCUGUACGCCUGCUGUGGUGAUCUGGAAGUCCUUCAGCAGUAUUUCCCCCUCCAUCGUGUUUGAGGAGCUGCCGUGCGUGAACCGAUUCCUCAAACUGAGCCUGGUGUGGGAGACGGGAGAGCUGGAGCCGGAGAAGGAUCUGUACGACUCGACUGUGGACAUGAGAGAACAAUAAAGGAGCUGUGCAAGAAGCAAGAGGAAGAAACACAGCAGAGAGACACUGGAGUCUGUGACUUUGACAUCACCGGCUCCGUUUUAGGCUUAAGGGUGAUCCCGUACUGACACUGAUGUGCGAUUGUGGAUCAACAAUCAAGAGGAUAACGCGCAUUCUGGAAAUCUGCUGCUGUUUACUGAUGCGUAACGCAGUAGAAAUGACACAGACUUGUUUUAUUUAGAGCGCGCAUGGAUUCAAGAAUGACAUGUUUUCCCUGCAGUUUGAACGAUCAUUUCAGACAUUCGUCUGCAGCAUAGUUUUCAGAAACGAACAGUGGGGGAAAGAGUAUUUAAAAUCGUUCAUUCAUUCAUUCGUUCGUUCGUUCGUUCAUCUAUUUUCUUUUGGGCUUAGUCCCUUUAUUAUUCCGUGGUAGCCACAGGGAAAUGAACCGCCAACUUAUCCAGCAUGUGUUUUAUGCAGCGGAUGCUGUUCCAGGUUGAAUAGUGGAAAAUCAUCCUAAAGUAAAAGUAGCAUCACUUGGUUAAAGUAGUUGUGUGAGUAAAAGUAUCUGUGGUAAAUAUUACAGAAAGUACGAGUUAAAGUAGACCUUUUCAAAGUACUGGAGUAGCGAGCAUCACGCUGUAAAAGGCUGAUGCGUUCACAUGUCAUUUGUGGAUGUGUGUGUGUAAACGUAACAUUCUGUAAGGCGUGACAUUAGUUAUUGCCCAGCAGGCACACAACAUCAUAAGACAUAAACAUGAGGUUAGAUUUAGUUUGUGAUGUGAGGUGAGCAAAAUUCAGUGUUAAGCCAGCGUCUAUAGUUCAGUGUGUAUAUUUUUAUAGCAACAUCCGGUGAGGUUAAUUGUAGGUAGUGUUAGAAAAGGUCCCAAAGCCCACAUCUUAAAGUAACGUCAUAUUUAUUGGUCAGGUAUGAUGACCAAAAUCCAAUGUGUGGUAGACGUCAUAGUGGUGUCGUAGUGACAUGUCGGCUGUAGCGUGAUCAGAUGUUGAUAUUUGGUAUGUGGCCGUGACGUCGAGUUGUCGCAUGAAUUUGAUAAUCAUUUCCAAAGCGUACGCAACGUCCCCGUAGUGCUGGGGUACAGUCAACCUGAUGUAAUGUCGACAUCUUGCUCCUGCUGGGUGUUUAAGAGCAUUUGGGUCGUGAUACAGUAAACGGCUGUGGUUUAGUCAUCAGCGUCAUGCAGCGACAGGAUUGUUUUUUUCUGAUGCGCACAGACGGGAAAUAAUGACGUAUUGACUGCAGGUUGAAGGAAAAUAGAGCAGUUUAAUUAUUGAUCCAGCAGUGAAAAUGUAGUCAACGGAGAGUAAAAGUGCACAUUUGUAAAAGUAUUUAGGAAAUGACAAUUCCUGAGAAAAACUAGUCAACGACAGUAAUUUGAGUAACGUGUGACUUUCCAGAACUGAUAAUGAAUGAGUGAACGAACGAACGAAUGCACUGAAUCAAUAUUCACUAAUACGUUCUCCCCCUUUUUUGAAGGCAGGCAGUGUUCUUGAAUUUCCAGCAUAUAAAAGUGUUUGACUUGAUGCAUUAUUUGCAUAUUAUUUGAUGCGUUUGUUAACAUGAAAAACAGAUUGAUUCCAGUGUUGAAUGAAUGUAUCUUGAAUGUGUAUGUGUGCUUGCAAUGCAGGUAUGUAGGAGUGUGUGUGUGUG
Non-coding RNA from Danio rerio (zebrafish), 2619 nucleotides. The record is from RefSeq and is a predicted model, not a curated record. Lineage: Eukaryota; Metazoa; Chordata; Actinopteri; Cypriniformes; Danionidae.